Molecule: ribosomal RNA, 253 nt
Filed under: uncultured bacterium
Lineage: Bacteria
Description: partial 16S ribosomal RNA
Rfam family: Bacterial small subunit ribosomal RNA
Source: RNAcentral
GACGGAGGAUGCAAGUGUUAUCCGGAAUCACUGGGCGUAAAGCGUCUGUAGGUGGUUUAAAAAGUCCACUGUUAAAAAUUGAAGCUUAACUUCAAAGAUGCCGUGGAAACUUUUAAACUUGAGGAUGAUAGGGGUAGAGGGAAUUUCCAGUGGAGCGGUGAAAUGCGCAGAUAUCAGGAGGAACACCGGUGGCGAAGGCGGGUCUCUGGGCCGAAACUGACGCUGAGGAGCGAAAGCGUGGGGAGCGAACAGG